Non-coding RNA from Schizosaccharomyces pombe (fission yeast), 291 nucleotides. Lineage: Eukaryota; Fungi; Ascomycota; Schizosaccharomycetes; Schizosaccharomycetales; Schizosaccharomycetaceae. The record is from the annotation of a GenBank genome assembly.
AAUGCAGCAAUCUCAUUUACUUCAUAAUGUCUUCAAUUACUUACUGCUGAUAGUUGAUAGAGCACGAAAACAAUGCCAGUUUGUUAAUGUUAAUUUAUUACAUAUCGGUUGUAUGCUGAUGUUGCUGCAUGCUGAAUUUUAACACAGAGCGCAUCCCUCUAAACUUCUCGACUAUCAUCAAGUCAGUCGUGAAGCUUUCAACUGAAUAAACCUAUGCAACAUAAUUUCAGCUUAAAAGCUAUUAAUUAGCUGAUCUUAAGUAAUACAAAGUAAUAUAUCAAAUCGUAACAU